This 460-nucleotide ribosomal RNA is filed under the name uncultured bacterium. Its description in RNAcentral is "partial 16S ribosomal RNA". It matches the Rfam family "Bacterial small subunit ribosomal RNA", at positions 338 to 795 of the family's 1533-position model. The record is from RNAcentral.
CCUACGGGUGGCUGCAGUGAGGAAUAUUGGUCAAUGGUCGGGAGACUGAACCAGCCAAGCCGCGUGCGGGAUGAAGGUACAGAGUAUCGUAAACCUCUUUUGUCAGGGAACAAAGGCGGGGACGCGUCCCCGGAUGAGAGUACCUGAAGAAAAAGCAUCGGCUAACUCCGUGCCAGCAGCCGCGGUAAUACGGAGGAUGCGAGCGUUAUCCGGAUUUAUUGGGUUUAAAGGGUGCGGAGGCGGUCUGUUAAGUUAGGGGUGAAAGCCCGGGGCUCAACCCCGGCCCCGCCGUUGAAACUGGCAGUCUCGAGAUGGAGAGAAGUAUGCGGAAUGCGCGGUGUAGCGGUGAAAUGCAUAGAGAUCGCGCAGAACUCCGAUUGCGAAGGCAGCAUGCCAGCUCCACACUGACGCUGAGGCACGAAAGCGUGGGUAUCGAACAGGAUUAGAUACCCGAGUAGUC